This 471-nucleotide ribosomal RNA is filed under the name Streptomyces mexicanus. RNAcentral's name for it is "bacterial SSU rRNA". It matches the Rfam family "Bacterial small subunit ribosomal RNA", at positions 98 to 582 of the family's 1533-position model. Lineage: Bacteria; Bacillati; Actinomycetota; Actinomycetes; Kitasatosporales; Streptomycetaceae. The record is from RNAcentral.
GCGAACGGGUGAGUAACACGUGGGCAAUCUGCCCUGCACUCUGGGACAAGCCCUGGAAACGGGGUCUAAUACCGGAUACGACUCACGACCGCAUGGGCUCUGGGUGGAAAGCUCCGGCGGUGCAGGAUGAGCCCGCGGCCUAUCAGCUUGUUGGUGAGGUAACGGCUCACCAAGGCGACGACGGGUAGCCGGCCUGAGAGGGCGACCGGCCACACUGGGACUGAGACACGGCCCAGACUCCUACGGGAGGCAGCAGUGGGGAAUAUUGCACAAUGGGCGCAAGCCUGAUGCAGCGACGCCGCGUGAGGGAUGACGGCCUUCGGGUUGUAAACCUCUUUCAGCAGGGAAGAAGCGAGAGUGACGGUACCUGCAGAAGAAGCGCCGGCUAACUACGUGCCAGCAGCCGCGGUAAUACGUAGGGCGCAAGCGUUGUCCGGAAUUAUUGGGCGUAAAGAGCUCGUAGGCGGCUUG